Molecule: ribosomal RNA, 567 nt
Filed under: Triticum aestivum (bread wheat)
Lineage: Eukaryota; Viridiplantae; Streptophyta; Magnoliopsida; Poales; Poaceae
Description: partial small subunit ribosomal RNA
Source: RNAcentral
AUGAUUGAUCUGAAUGAACCGCCGCUUGACGUAGAGUCCAUCAACAUUUCAGUUGAGUUGGGUACACCCUUCUUACAUGCAGGUUAUGAGCAGGAGGAUCACCAUUUGGAGGAGGGGGUUGGUAAGUCCCCUGACCCCAACAUUGGCUCUAAUAGUGCUCAUGUCCCAAACAAUCAUGUCGCUGCUCCCCCACCCAUGGUUGCUCCUGCUAAUGCUUUAGUUGAUGAGGCACAUGAGUUGGAAGAUGAAGAAGCUAGGUCACAGCUGCAGCAACCUUAUGUUGGCAUGCGCUUCGACACAUUGGUUGAUGCGAGGGAACACUACAAUCGCUAUGCUUUGAUGGUGGGUUUUUCAAUCAAGUCGAAUACGUCCUACAGGCCCACACCGGCGUGCUGGAAAAACAACAAUUCUGCUGUAACAAGUUCCGCAAGCCGGUGGAGAGGGUUGGGGUCUCGGAUGUUGUCUCGUCCAGCAAAAACACCACAUGCCCAAGCUCACCUGACCAAGAUGUUGAAGAGGAUGGCGAAGAACACACUUAUACGAAGAAGAGGAAGCGAGAGACUAUAA